AGUCACUUGUGCUCCAGGCAGAUUUGGAGACUGAAGACUAUCUGAUUGAUAGUCCAAAACCAAACCAUGUCUCCCUGAAGAUGGUAGGUCUCUCUAGAGGAAGGUGAACCCAACUUUUUCCUCUGAACUGUCCUUCAUUAGACAUCCAACCCUGGAUUAGGCAGUGGGAGUACCAAAUGUGGAACAGAUAUGAGUGGAAGUGUGAUACUGAAAUGUAACUGGCAACUGAGAACUCCCUUCAAGUGAUGGAAUGGAGACUCAAAGGAUUCUAAUUCUUCGGUCUCCUCCCCCACCAGAGAAAUCUAAAGCCUGAAUACCAUCAUUGAGCAAUUUAAAAUGUUCCAUUGAGGUCACUGGAUACAGGGAUAUGAUUCCUGUUUUCUCUGACACUUGUGAAAUCCCCUAGGGACAGGGACUGUGUCUACUUCCCAUCUUUGCAUUCUUCCUCUACGGGUCUAAUUAUUUGACUUUCCUGCUUACAGUAUUUGGAAGGAAAGAAAGCGUGGGGAAAAACCAAAUAAAUACUAGCAACAAUUUCUCUAAUUUUCUAGUGUCCCCCUUCACCAUGUCAUCUAAGAACUGAGUUUAAGUAGUUUUUUAUAGUAAUUUCAGAAAAUAAUUGACCCUACAAUGCUUGUAAAAAGGAGACUGAGAUUUUACGCCAAUGACAGCAGCAAAAAUGGCAACCCAGCUACUUGCCAGGACAGUGAUUUUGCCACCUAUGAAGGAGACAUUGGAAAUUUGCAGGUGAAGGGUUAUCUUCCAUAUGCUGAGGAAAUUAAAAGGAUGGACAGGAUCUGGGAUGUUUCAGUAAACUAACAAACCUAAAAUGAAAAUAUUCCACCUCUCAUUUAUGGCUAUUUGGAGAUUUCUACUAUUCAUAACUUUAAAGCUUUAAGAUCUGUUGGUAUUUUUCAAGAGUAAUGUAAAUCACCUAAAGAACCUUAUUGCCAAAAAAAGCUGCUGUUUCCAACCUGAAUAAAAGUUUGGGACCAUCUUCAAAGAUCUGGAAGUGUUCUAACUAACCAGGACAUGAGUUUGGGCUAAAGUAUAUGGAGAGAAAAAGAUUAUGGAAUUUUGAUUUUGUGGAAUUUCUAUAAACAAAAACUGACUCAGUCCCCCAAAGCUUGAUAAGAAAAUCACUUAGGGAAGAAUAAUGUAUUUGACAAAACUGAACUUCUACGUGAAGCAUCUGUUGGAAGCUGUACUUGGGAAGUAAGUAAAAUUGCAGCCUGUGAUCACUGGAGAGC
Ornithorhynchus anatinus (platypus) is the source of this 1250-nucleotide long non-coding RNA. RefSeq lists it as uncharacterized. NCBI's taxonomy places the organism in Eukaryota, Metazoa, Chordata, Mammalia, Monotremata, Ornithorhynchidae. The transcript has 11 exons. The record is from RefSeq and is a predicted model, not a curated record.